Molecule: long non-coding RNA, 251 nt
Filed under: Arachis ipaensis
Lineage: Eukaryota; Viridiplantae; Streptophyta; Magnoliopsida; Fabales; Fabaceae
Description: long non-coding RNA (AIPA_LNC000723)
Source: RNAcentral
GAUGGAGAGGGUCUGGAUUUAGGAUGAGCGGAGAGGUCUUGAAGGAAGCGAUAAUGAGAGUCGUUAAGGCUCAUUGGCUUCUUGUGGGUUCUGCUAACGCUCCUUUCCAUUUCUCUCUUCUAGUCUUCUUUCAAAACUGAAGGCUCUUGCUUUCAACUCUUGUGUGUUUAUAUACCAUCAAUGCCAGUGUCAUUCCCUUCUUUCCCGCUGUGUUUCGUUUAUUUUGAAUUUGUCAUUAACGUUCGGAAUCC